Small nuclear RNA from Bison bison bison, 107 nucleotides. Lineage: Eukaryota; Metazoa; Chordata; Mammalia; Artiodactyla; Bovidae. The record is from Ensembl.
GUGCUUGCUUCAGCAGCACAUAUACUAAAACUGGAAUGAUGCCGAGAAUAUUAGCAUGGCCCCUGCUCAAGGAUGACAUGCAAAUUUGUGAAGUGUUUCAUAUUAAA